Acinonyx jubatus (cheetah) is the source of this 7880-nucleotide long non-coding RNA. RefSeq lists it as uncharacterized. The transcript has 4 exons. The record is from RefSeq and is a predicted model, not a curated record. NCBI's taxonomy places the organism in Eukaryota, Metazoa, Chordata, Mammalia, Carnivora, Felidae.
CCAGACUUUGCAUCUCGCUCCCCAGCAGCUGAGGGUCCAAGUCUCCGGGACUGGGUGGUCAAUGUAGUUGGUAGGAAUGAAUCCGCGACUUUGCCUGGCCGAUAAGGUAGGAAAAGAGAAGACUGGGGUAGAACUGGGUGAUAGAGGGGAGUAAUUUUGAGUCUAAGGCGUGUAGGACACUUCCGUCCUGGAAGCUGGGGUCUGUGAGGCUAAGAGCCCAGACACCAAUUUACUGAGUGAUCACCCCUUGCGAAGGAUGGCACUAGGCGUUUUAUAUUUAAUCUUCACUUACCAAGAUUAAAGAUUAAACGGCCCCUUCUGAAUUCAAAGAGGCCCAAGUUGUCGCAUACACGUAGAACUUUACGCUCACUUAUAUCCAUAAUAUUUCUUGUGGAAAAAUCCAGGGCCUGCCUGUGAGUGUCCCAGUGACUAAACACCUUAAUUUACAAAGGACAGUGUGACCUGUAAGCACCUGUUGGUCUGGUUUCUCUUGCAUAUGGGACUGCCUCAAGCCUGGGUUCUAAAUCUUGACAACAGAACAUAAUGGAACCAGCUGUGUCUGAAGGCAAAGGUCAAGUUGAGAGGAGAGACCUGUGUGAGAAGACUCUGAAUAUAGGCCAUCUAACCAGUUCCUAAAUCCUUCUGAUUUUUAGUCCUGGAUCAAACUGGGCCAAAUCUGAAGACAACAUACUUACGGAGUAUGACUUCUGACCUGGAUCUAAGCUUGUUCAGCAAGCUGCAAGGUUAUGAAUACCCUACUAUGGGGGAAGGGUGAUUUUGGAACGGGCUCAUUGUCACAGUUUUCCCCCUGGCCUCACCCCUGCCUGGUUGGACUCUCUUCAAAGUCUUAUUGUGCAUCCUGAUGUGAGUACAAACUGAAAGCUGUUUUUCUAUAGGCCCCGGGAGUGCCAGACAACACUGCUUUGGAAACUAUAAUCCCCGCAGUUAGAGAUAUCUGUUCUCCACAGCGUGGCAAAACAUGGUACAACUCUUGUGCAGAAGGACCCUGAUAAUUUGAACAGCUUCGGCAGCUUCAGUACAUCAGGGUAAGCUUUAAGAUGAUGUAACGUUGGCAUCUGGGAACCAGUACCUUCGGCCACAAUGGACAGGCCACCCUAGCCCACACCCUCCACUCUGGCAGCCUCAGCACAAGUUUGUCAAGCAUCAGGAGCAGCACCUUCGACCUAUUUAAGCAAGAGCAGCGGGACACACACAUUGGCCGGGACACACAUGUGUGGUUGGGGUGACUGCGCUGGGGAUAUCUUAGCAGUGGAUCUCCGCAGGAAGCCAGAGCAGGUUAGGUUGGAAAAUGACAGAUUCUGUGUGGUGGCUGAGAGCACUGUUUGUCAGCACAUAUGCGACAACUCUUGGGGAGUCCUAUAAAUAUUGAGUAUGUGAUGCACGGUGGUGCUGAUACUGCUGAACCUGUCCUUCAGGAAAGCAGGCCCUACAGAGAGUGGAGGCAGAAGGGUGUCACCUGCCUUCAAGAGCAAUAACCAUGCACAGUGCCGCUCGGAGCCUGCAACGUUUGGAGGAGUGGAUUAACCAUGGAGGGGUUGCGAGAACUCCCAGUUCAGAACACAAAAGAAGAAAGAACAGAACAUUGCGAUGCAAAGAUUUAUGAGGGAGAAAGAUUCACUAAGAAAAGGAAAUUGGAAACCAAGGAAGCAGAAUAUUCAAAAGACAGCCAUGCACCACGCAUAAUAAUGAAGUUUCCCUGACUCCCUUUGGCUCAGGAAUCAUUGUAAGUGUUAAGCUGAUGAUGGAUCCCUAGGAACAACAUAGAGGAGCAGCUCAAUACAUUCCUUCUUGACCUGUAUAACCAAAGGAACUCUAGGUCUGGAAAAUAUAAGCCUGACUUGAGUCACUGCAGUAGAGAAUCUAGAUCAGCAUCAACUCAAAGACCCAGAGCUCACUGAAUGAAAGGAAGACUGAAAACCCUUGAGAAAGUGCCCUGAGGUAUUAUCACAGGUAUGUACUACAAAUCUUUCUAGCCUUCCCUAAGCAGCCUUCCUGUAGCCAUUGCCCACGUAACUAACUAUACACUGUGGGGGAAGCAAAUACCCAAACAUUUUCAGAGAUUAUUGAACACUGGAUCUGAGCUAAACCCUGAGGACCCACAACACCACUCUAACACAUAAGCCAGAGUGGAGGCCUUGGGGGAGGGUGUCAUGCCAUAGAGACAUUUUUUUAAUUGAGGGUAUCAAGGUAGGUGGCUUGACCGAGAUGGUAAAAAGGAAAUACAUGGAAUUUGGGGCUUUGUCCAUAUCACAGUAGUCCCAGUAGAUCACAAAUAUACCCCAUUUUCCCCCCAUGUUCCUGAGUAUAUAUUGGGAAUAAAUAUACUCAAUGACUAAAAAAUCUGUAUGUUUCCUCCUGACCUAUAGAGUGAGGACUAUCAUGGUAGGAAGAAAGUGGAAUCCGUGGAGCUACCCUACCGAAAUGGUGGAUCAAAGCACCCUGUUUAUCGUGGAAUCACAGAGAUUAGAACUAAUAAAGCCUGGAAAGAGGCAAAGAGGAUAAUCUUCACUAUACUCCCAUUUACAUUAUUUGUUUGUCUUACGUAGAAGACCGAUCAUGGAGCAUAGUAGCGGACUCUCAUAAACCAAGUCAGGUAGAGGCUACAUUUAGUUCCAGACAGACUUUUCGACAUUGUAGAUCAAUACAUACCCUGGCACUUAGUAUGCAGCUGUUCAUCUGAAAAAUGAUUUUAUUUCUACAAGGAAACACCACCAUCAAGUAACUUUCAUGUGGAAAAGAGAGUUUUCUCUAUCUUGCUAUAGAAUUACAUCAGUUAUCCAGAGUCAUGUCAUGUUUUUACUCUAAAAGGCAUGCAUUUCUCAAGAUGGUGGCAAAGAGAAAUGUCUUGGAACCCUUUUCAGAGACAAAGGCCAGCAAAAGAUAAAAGGAAAGAGAAGAUUAAAAAUGGUUGUGUUAGCAAGAUUCAAGUGUGAUUCCCGCACUUGAAUGGAUCUGGAAAUCGACUGAGGAGUGUGUUACGGUGUGGAUUUUGUGCUAUUACCUCGAGAGAGUCUACUUCAAGAGGUCUGGGGUGGCCCCCGGGAUCAGAAUUUGCCCCAAGCAGUCCAGGUUGUUCUGAGGCUGGCUGUCCAAGGGCCACGCCUGGAGAAAUGCUGGUGAAGUGGAAAACACACAGGACUGGUCUCUGCCAUCACGAGGCUGGCCAUCUGCCUCACUGAGUCUGCUUCCUUGUCUGUAAAAUGGGGAUAGACUAUAGCUACGUCAGUGUCCUGAGGGUUAAAUGAGUUGAGGUAUAUGACAUGUUGGGAAUCAUAACUCAAAUGUUCCAUAGGUUUGAACGGCUCUGGGGUGAAAAAGAAUUAUUCUGGCUCCAGAAGGCAGAACUGGGCGAAGGGGAAGGAGUAGGUGAGGGGGCGGCAAGUCUGGCCUCUUAGGACGCAUUCUCUCGUCUUCGGACAUGGCCCAGCUGUCUUGGGAGGUGGCAAACAAAAACGUGUUGGGUCACACCAGCGAAAAGCACUGCAGAUGAGCGCUUGGGUUCGUGCCCACCUGCUAUGCCUCAGUGUGGUGCGGCCACUGCAACCAUACAGCUCGGCCUAUCCUCCCGUGUUCAGAAGGCACCCAUGCCCAGACCUGCUCCUCCUCAAAUCCAGAAUAAAUGCCCCAAACAAAACCUUCUCUCCUCAGGCCCUUGCCUGCUUCCUCGGCCUUAUUUCCUGUCUGUCCCCAUGAGUGCCUUUGGUUCCAUAUCCUAGAAGAUUCCCAGAUGCCCUCUUCCCAGCCACAUGCCCCCUCACCCCUAGCUGAAUCCUAUUAACCCUUUAGAACUUUAACCCAGUCAGGGCUCCCUCCAAGCUCCCUGAUCCUUCAAGCUGAGCCUCUUCUGCUCCUGUGGUGGCCCUGAGGACACUCAGUUCCCUCCUAGCACUUGCCAUCUUGUUUUGUGGUCCUCUGCCUGUCUGCGUUCUUCCAGUAGGGGCUCCUUGAGAACAGAGAUUGCCUUUUCCUCUGUAUCAUCAUCACCUGUCCCAGAGCCUAGCCCGGAGUGGGUGCUUAGUAAAUCUUAGUUGAGUGAAUGAAGGAGGGGUGGCAAGCUCUGGUGUUCCCUACCCAGGAGCAAACCAAUUCCCUAUUCCUUGGCCGCAUCCCUGUAGCAGGGUAAAAAGGCCAGAUUUCACUUCUCAGUCUCCACUGCAGUGAGAUCUGGUCAGCCAGGUAUGAGGAGAGUCUAAUGUAGAGGGAGUGCUCUAGAAACUGUUUUUCCAUUCCCCAGUAAAUGGAGGGAACCUCGCUGGAGGUCUCGCCCACCCCCACUACCUCCUGUGUGGACAGGCCUGUGUGAGUCAAGAUGUCUGAAGCUGUCCAAAGAUUCUCAGAAAUGCCAACCAAUAUCCUGAGGCCUCUGAAUCAACCCUUGAAUCUCCUACCUCCAGAAUUCUUACUUGAUGAGUAAUAAAUGUCCUUAUGGCCGAAGUCUCUAAACAAUCCUAAUCAACAGAGUGAUAAGAUAUUAUAAUGAGAAAAGAAAAGGAGGGAACCGAACAUAAAUAUUCCCUUCUUGGAAGGACAGAACCUCAGAAUCUACUGGCAUCUUAGAGAUUGUCAAGUUCAAACCUUGACCUUCACAUCUUUACUGCCGAUGUGCCCCUGGUUCCUAUCUGAACAUUCUUUAUGCAUACGAGGGAGGACAGGGUGGGGUGCCAUAUUUCAUGAUGCAGGCUCCCUGGACUCCUGAGUUGGAAUCUCCUUGACAGAGACCAGCCUCCUGGCCCUGUCUUCUGCCAGGCCUCUGCUGCCCACCCCUGAGAGUCCGCACAUGAGUGUAAAGGGCUUUAUCUCUGUUCCCCUCCAUAUCAAAGACCCAUCCAGGUCUUGAGGCCUUUCCUCUGGCUUGCGAUCAGACAUCUGCCCUUUCCCUUAGGUGGUGAAGGGUCCCCCCCUCCCUUAGCCUCCAAAUGUGGAAAAUUGUGGAGCGUUUGCUCAAAAGGAAAAUGGCUGAUUAGAUAAGAGUUUGAAUGAUCUGUCAUCUCUUCUAGGCACGUGCCUAGUGUUCAGCACCUUCAGGGUCAUCCACACACGUGCCGGGACCAGGAUGUGCUGAGUGUCUGAGAGAGGGGAGGGAGAGAAAGUGGGGCGGGUGGGGGAGACAUGGGAAAGGAGAGAAGGGGAGAGGAGGAGCAAAAAGAGGGAAAGGACCGGAGGGAGUUGGGAAUGGAAAAGGAAAGACCGCGUAGUGGUUAAGAGAAGGCAGUUUGGGGGUUACUUCAGUGGAGUUCAAAUCCCUAAAUACCACUGAGCUUGGAGAAGCUACUGGAUCUGUAUCUCAAUUUCCCAUCUGCAAAAUGAGGAUACUGUUAUUUAUCUCAUAGAGUGUUAUGAGGUGAUGUAUAAAAAGCACUUAGCACAGUCCUUCCUAUAUAAAAACUAAAGAAUAAAAGGCAGACUUUACUAGCAAGGGAACCGGUAAGAAAGAACAAGAAUGGAGAAGGAGGGGGAAGGAGAAGAAAGAAGAGAUUUGCAUUACAAAGAACAGAUGGAAGAGCAGAGGGGGAGAAAGUGAAAGGGAAACAGAAAUGGAAAUAAGAAAGACACAAAAGGAAAACUAGAAACAAAUGUCAUAUCCUUCCAAAAUUUGGGGCAAGUUUUCCAAACUGCCCUCAGUCCCUGAAGACUUUCCCCUUGAUCUUUUGUGUCGCUCAUUCCUUGCAUGUCCCCCAGGAGAUCUAAAAAUAGUCCCCCGGGCAAAGAAUGUGACGCUUUGGUCUGGUCUGCCAAGAGGCUUGACUGCUGCCCCCCUCACUUGCAGUGCAAGGGAUCCCACCUGGAAGAAAGAAAGCGCGGUGGAACAGGAGAAAGCCGGUUACAUCAGGUAGGCUCCCUCGUGGGGAGGGAAAAACAGAAACUAGCUGACGAGGUGGAGGGGUGACGCUGACUCCAUGUGCCCUGGAGGCCGCAAACAGGUGACGGGACUGAGCAUCUGCGACUUCCUGGAUGACUUAGGCGAGGUCAGAGAAACGUAAAGCUGCUACCAUGUACCAGUUGCUCAGUUUAUAAUAUGAGAGUCAGUUUCCCAGCUACACUGGGUCCUUUUGGGGGGGACUCAGCCAAAGAAAUAUGUAGAUUAGAUAGUCAUUGAGUUUACUGGGUGUACAGCAUACAAAAUGUUUUGUAGACUAUUAUCCGUUUCUUGGCAGGAAGUGUGUCAGAAGGGGCAAAGGAAGCUGCCCAUGCCAUGAAUAAAUUCUAUCAAAUACAAUGGCAAUAAUACACCUCACUGCUUUAGCUGUGAUCCUCACUGGCUUCCUACUGCUUAUGAAGUUCAGACCCUUUAACUUCAACUUGAGAUCCUCCACAGCACAGCUACAUCCUUUUUUCCCCGUUCCGCUCACAUACCCAAUACUUAGGCUACACAACUCCCCACUCACAAAUGGGGAGUAUACAUGGCCCACACCUUCUCACCUCUCUUUGUCUUAGCUCCUUUCCUCUCUACCUACGAAGUCCUUCCCUUUCAUUCAUCCAUUUAAAAUUUUUUUUAACGUUUAUUUAUUUUUGAGACAGAGAGAGACAGAGCAUGAACGGGGGAGGGGCAGAGAGAGAGGGAGACACAGAAUCGGAAGCAGGCUCCAGGCUCCGAGCCGGCAGCCCAGAGCCCGACACGGGGCUCGAACUCACGGACUGCGAGAUCGUGACCUGAGCUGAAGUCGGAGGCUUAACCGAUUGAGCCACCCAGGCGCCCCUCAUUCAUCCAUUUAAUAGGAGUGGUUACCAGGUAUCAUACAAGACCCUUAAGACACAGCAGUUAAAAAGACAAAUAAGGAGUCCCUGCUUUUACUGAACUUAACUGCCUUCAUAUCCCUUAAUGAAGGGGAGAGACCAAACACAUAAUUGCAAUAAAGCAUGAUGUGUGUUAACAUUAAGAAAGUUUAGUGUGCUCUGGGAACACCUCGGGGGAGUUGGCUCUGGCUUAGGGAGUUGGGGAGGGCCUCGUUAGGUCAGGACCCUCUGAGGAACCCUGGAUAAUUGAACUCUACAGCCUUUUGCAACUGAUACAACUGAAAUCCCCAAGGCAAAAGAGAUGGUCCCUGGAAGCCAGAUGAGAACAUCCCAACUCUGUAGUUUCUUCACUCCAAAACCUUCAACAUCCUCUCUAUGCGUGUCAUAUCCUGGGACAGAGCAAACAUUUGGAAGAGUCACCAGGGAACUUGCUUGGUAACAGUGACAUGGUGCUUAGAUAAGAGGGAAAGGGCCAAAGGAAGGCUUUUGUGUAUAGUGAGCAGGAAUCAUUUUAUUCCCCUACUUUGUGUAUUACGUGGCUACACACAAAAUUCAGGUACCUACAUUCCCAGUCCAGUGUUAGCAUUGUUGCCUUCCUACACAGCCAGUGUUUUCAAAGAAAACCAAAUUGGAGCAACCUGGGUUAACAAAAGCUCAUAGCCAGGACCUUUUCCUAUGACCCCACAGAUCUAGGUAGAAAUGGAGAAGUCUUUCCUCAAAUUGAUCCCAGCCCUCUUUGAUGUCUCCUGAACUCUAAAGACUCUAAAUUACUGUUCAGCCUGUAGGGUACAUUCUUACUUAUAUGCUGCCUUACACUGAUUUUCCAAAAUUUUCUAUCAGUCACCCACAAGUACUUUUUUGAGUCCCCUCUAUGUGCCUACCACUGUUCUGGGUACUGAAAAUUAUAUCUAAGAGACACCAGACCUGGCACUUACUGGGCCCUCAGUGAUGUCUGUUGAUCCAAUAACAUCAAGCAAGAGUCCUGCCCUCAAGGAUUUAACAGCUUUUCCCUUCAAAUGAGUAACAGAUUUCUCCAAGUCAAAAGCCCUGUCUUCUACUUUGUAUUCUUAUUGCAUUAGGUUCUCACGUUAGGUAAAUAAUAAAUGCUUUCUUGUUUGUUUAUU